AAACUAACAAGGAUUCCCCUAGUAACGGCGAGUGAACCGGGAAGAGCUCAAAUUUGAAAUCUGGCGUCCUCAGGGCGUCCGAGUUGUAAUCUAUAGAGGCGUUUUCCGUGCCGGACCGUGUCCAAGUCCCUUGGAACAGGGUAUCAAAGAGGGUGACAAUCCCGUACUUGACACGACGACCGGUGCUCUGUGAUACGUCUUCUACGAGUCGAGUUGUUUGGGAAUGCAGCUCAAAAUGGGUGGUGAGUUCCAUCUAAAGCUAAAUAUUGGCGAGAGACCGAUAGCGAACAAGUACCGUGAGGGAAAGAUGAAAAGCACUUUGGAAAGAGAGUUAAACAGUACGUGAAAUUGUUGAAAGGGAAACGAUUGAAGUCAGUCGUGACCGAGAGGCUCAGCCGGCUCUGCCGGUGUAUUCCCCUCGGUCGGGUCAACAUCAGUUUUGUCCGGUGGAUAAGGGCGGCAGGAAUGUGGCACCCUCGGGUGUGUUAUAGCCUGCUGUCGCAUACACCGGGUGAGACUGAGGAACGCAGCUCGCCUUUAUGGCCGGGGCCCGCCCACGUACGAGCUUAGGAUGUUGACGUAAUGGCUUUAAACGACCCGUCUU
This 604-nucleotide ribosomal RNA is filed under the name Papiliotrema aspenensis. RNAcentral describes it as "LSU rRNA". It matches the Rfam family "Eukaryotic large subunit ribosomal RNA", at positions 62 to 655 of the family's 3401-position model. The record is from RNAcentral. Lineage: Eukaryota; Fungi; Basidiomycota; Tremellomycetes; Tremellales; Rhynchogastremaceae.